Long non-coding RNA from Ostrea edulis (European flat oyster), 407 nucleotides. RefSeq lists it as uncharacterized. The record is from RefSeq and is a predicted model, not a curated record. The transcript has 2 exons. Lineage: Eukaryota; Metazoa; Mollusca; Bivalvia; Ostreida; Ostreidae.
UCCUAAGGACCAGUGCAAGUUGAAAUGGGAUUCCAGCCAACAACUUCAACAGCAAUUUGCCAUGAAAAUCAGCAAGAAAGGUACUUCAUUUACAUUGAUGAUGUCAUAUCCCCUGGACCCCACAACUUUACAGGUUACAGAGAAAAUUCAAGAACUUCUGCAAAAUGUGGGACUUGGAUAGAAUCAAUAAUGUAUUUGUGAGCCCAGAGCAAUGGAUAUAUUGUGCAACAUACUAAAGUGUGAAUUUAAUGGAAAACAAGUACAUGUACUCAUGUAUUACAUGUCUUUUUUAAAGACAAUAAUAUUGUAUCAAUAUAGAGGAAGUGUCAUUGUUGAUUAUUCUAAGUUUUUGAUAUAUCAAAAUCAGUAAACAUUUCUAAAUGAAAAUAAAAUACCAAUUCUAUAAC